Leopardus geoffroyi (Geoffroy's cat) is the source of this 671-nucleotide long non-coding RNA. RefSeq lists it as uncharacterized. The record is from RefSeq and is a predicted model, not a curated record. The transcript has 4 exons. NCBI's taxonomy places the organism in Eukaryota, Metazoa, Chordata, Mammalia, Carnivora, Felidae.
AAUGAGAGAUUCCAACACAAGACCAUAGAGUAAGAAAACGAGAGCAGGAAUUUAUUCCCCUAGCUUUCUCUUUGCCACAUUACCACAGGUCACCUAUGCCAUUCCACCAAAGGCGUGGCUCCUGUCAGGUGGCCCAAUCUUGAAGAAUGGAUUCACCUGUGGGUCAACUAAUGAAAACCAAAUCCUCCAAGUCAAGUCCUUGUCUUCCAGGAGGUCAGGAAAAAAAUCUCUUCUAAAGAAUCAUUCUUAGAUCUGAGACAUAGAAGAUGAAUAGUAUCUCGUUCAGGCAAAGCAUUUGUGAAGGUCCAGAGGUGAGAAGAUACUUUGCAUUUUCAUCAAAACUGAAGCAGCUGAGGCUCACUGAGCAGCAGGAAAGAAAGGAAACAGGUUUGACUUCAUCACCUUUGAAAGAUGACCUACAAAGUCAUUUUGGAAGAGGAUCUCUCUUGAAAGGUUAUUAUAGCCCAAAACUGGAACUGAUGUACAUUGCUCAACUCUCAUUCUAUUGGCUGCAAUUUAGGCACAUGGCCUCACAGGAGGCUGGGAAUCUAAUUAUAUAUGUAAAUACAAAGAGGAAACAAGUGUGUGAUUGCCCAGGAAUCUCAGCCAUAAACAACAUCUUAUGCAAAAUUAAAUUUUGUAAGUAUUAAAAUUCUAACAUAAAAAAACUA